UUCUUUUGAGCAAGAAAUUGACAAGCUCACCAAUACAGAGAAGAUUAGCAUGACCCCUGCACAAGAAUGACAUGCAAAUUCAUGAAACAUUCCAUUUAAAA
RNAcentral lists this small nuclear RNA (101 nucleotides) under Salvator merianae (Argentine black and white tegu). The record is from RNAcentral. Lineage: Eukaryota; Metazoa; Chordata; Lepidosauria; Squamata; Teiidae.